UACGUAGGGUGCGAGCGUUAAUCGGAAUUACUGGGCGUAAAGCGUGCGCAGGCGGUUUUGUAAGUCAGAUGUGAAAUCCCCGGGCUCAACCUGGGAACUGCAUUUGAGACUGCAAGGCUAGAGUGUGGCAGAGGGGGGUAGAAUUCCACGUGUAGCAGUGAAAUGCGUAGAGAUGUGGAGGAAUACCGAUGGCGAAGGCAGCCCCCUGGGCCAAUACUGACGCUCAUGCACGAAAGCGUGGGGAGCAAACAGGAUUAGAUACCCUGGUAGUCCACGCCCUAAACGAUGUCAACUAGGUGUUGGAAGGGUUAAACCUUUUAGUGCCGUAGCUAACGCGUGAAGUUGACCGCCUGGGGAGUACGGCCGCAAGGCUA
Molecule: ribosomal RNA, 374 nt
Filed under: uncultured prokaryote
Description: bacterial SSU rRNA
Rfam family: Bacterial small subunit ribosomal RNA
Source: RNAcentral